UACGAAGGGGGCUAGCGUCGCUCGGAAUGAUUGGGCGUAAAGGGUGCGCAGGCGGUAUAUUAAGUCAACUGUUAAAUUCCUCAGCCUAACUGAGGCCCAGCGGUAGAUACUGGUAUACUUGAGAGCGGAAGAGAGAAGUGGAAUUCUCGGAGUAGCGGUAAAAUGCGUAGAUCUCGAGAGGAACACCGAUGGCGAAGGCAGCUUCUUGGUCCAUUUCUGACGCUCAUGCACGAAGGCGCGGGGAGCAAACAGG
Molecule: ribosomal RNA, 253 nt
Filed under: uncultured bacterium
Lineage: Bacteria
Description: partial 16S ribosomal RNA
Rfam family: Bacterial small subunit ribosomal RNA
Source: RNAcentral